This is a long non-coding RNA of Lucilia cuprina (Australian sheep blowfly), 1260 nucleotides long. RefSeq lists it as uncharacterized. The transcript has 5 exons. Lineage: Eukaryota; Metazoa; Arthropoda; Insecta; Diptera; Calliphoridae. The record is from RefSeq and is a predicted model, not a curated record.
CAGCUGCUUCAUGUCAUCUAAUACUUUUUGUAUUUUGCUGUCGACCUCCUUCAUAAAUUGAACUUGGCGCAAACCCACCGAAGCAUCCACUAUAUUCUGGAUAUCAUUCACUUGGAUGGAAUUUUCCAUCCCUUGGCCUGCCAUACUACCUCGAACUUCCCUCCUAAUGUUCUGCGCUGUUUCGCUUAGGAAUGUCGGUGAUUUGCACUCUCAGAACUGAUGGACAGGUCGUGGGUGCUGUGUGUGGUUGUAGUCGUUGUUGUACUGGCUGUGGGAUGGGUAAACGUAGCGAUAGAUGCGGUAGGGGUAUCGGUACUACAAGUUACAUUACUCGCUGUUGCCAUAGCGUUGGUUUGUUGUCCUAAACGACUCGCGCGACGGGUUAAAACCAUUUAAAACAAUUAAUACAAAAGUCACACUUAUUUAAAAAACAAGGUGUGUAAAUAUAUAUAAAUACGAAAUUCGUAGCACAGAAUCUUUUGCAGCGUAAGUUCCAAAAGAAGAUAUAAACUAAAAGAUUUUCGAUCUUUCAAACAAAAAACCAAAAAGAAAACAAACUCAAAAUUCAAAACUUAAAUAACUUGUAUGCGGGCGGCAUUUUCGGGUAAAUAAAAGUUUGCAGGAGAUGCAGAGUACAAUUAACAAAACAACAAAAGGAUGGACAAGAACUAACUGUCUUUCUACAGUACGUACUAACGAGGUGCAACUUGACCAGGGUUACGUUCUCCUACUAUUCAAGGAAACCUUCCUAGACUUCCUGUAGAACUAAAACGUUCCUCAAUGGACAGCUGGCAAGACUACAGCAAAUGGACUUUUGGUGCGAGCUGGUUGCAGGUGUGGUUUUCUGUCCGUCCGUUUUAGUCUGUUCGUGUUUUUCAGGCCUGAGCUCAACCCUAACCUUACGCGCACGCCUGGUUCAAUUUCAACCCGCGGACUGGCUUCGAGCAACUAACCAAAUUAUCUAAAAGGACUGACUGGUUCUGUUCGUCCUGUCGUUCGGGUAAGAGGUAAACUUACAAGGUCGAAAACCUUAAUACCUGGGCACCACAGGACUGAUGGUGCGGAUCAGCUAAAGGAGUCCCUCGAUGGAUGGAGCUGGCGAUGGCGUGGCUCAGAGUUGACUGAUUUAGCUUUAUUUUUCUGUUUUAUUUAGUUUUAUGAUGAAUGUAAUUUAGUUUUAAGUUCUAAUUUAUUUUGUUUUAACUUUUAUUUGUAGUUCAGUUUGAAACUUUUAUGAAUAAACAAAAACAAGGAAUUAUU